UUACGCUGUUAUCCCUAAGGUUAUUUAUUUUAAAAUUCCAAAAUUUAGGUUUAUAGAUACAUUAAUUAAUGUUUGUUUAUUUAAAAGUUUUUUUAAUUUUAAAAUUACCCCAAUUAAAUAUAUAAAUUAAUUUAUUAUUUUAUUAAAUUAAAUAUUAAUUAAUUUAUAUAUUAAAUUCUAAAGGGUCUUCUCGUCUUUUAAUUAAAUUUAAGAAUUUUAACUUAAAAUUUAAUUUUAAUUUUUAAUUUUAUUUAUAUAGUUUAUGUUUCAUUAAAUCUUUCAUACUAGAUUUCAAUUAUAAAACUAAUUAUUAUGCUACCUUUGUACAGUUAUUUAUACUGCAGCCUUUUAAAAUUAUCAAUGGGCAGAUUUGACUUAAUAUUAUUUUCAAUAAGACAUGUUUUUGUUAAACAGGCG
RNAcentral lists this ribosomal RNA (417 nucleotides) under Binodoxys acalephae. Its description in RNAcentral is "partial 16S ribosomal RNA". The record is from RNAcentral. Lineage: Eukaryota; Metazoa; Arthropoda; Insecta; Hymenoptera; Braconidae.